GUGCUUGCUUCAGCAGUACAUAUACUAAAAUUGGAAUGAUACAGAGAUUAGCACAGCCCCCCAGGCAAAUUCAUGAUGUACUCCAUAUUUUU
Callithrix jacchus (white-tufted-ear marmoset) is the source of this 92-nucleotide small nuclear RNA. NCBI's taxonomy places the organism in Eukaryota, Metazoa, Chordata, Mammalia, Primates, Cebidae. The record is from Ensembl.